RNAcentral lists this long non-coding RNA (389 nucleotides) under Athene cunicularia (burrowing owl). RNAcentral describes it as "lncRNA (ENSACUG00000006067.1)". The record is from RNAcentral. Lineage: Eukaryota; Metazoa; Chordata; Aves; Strigiformes; Strigidae.
GAAUUUGAUUUGUGUGUUUGGAAUAGUUGUUGGUUAUGAACCCAUAAUAAAAUAUGGAAUAAUAUUCUUUUAAGUGCCUGGACUUGUAAAGAAACCUCGCAGAGUGAUUCCUGAAGUUGCUCCUCCACCAAAAGAAGAAGUUGUUUUGAAAAGAGUUCUUAAAAAGAAAACAGAAGAGGAAGAACCUAAACCAGAAAAAGAACCUAAACCAGAAGUUAAACCAGUACCUACCCCAGCAGAAAAAAUUAAGAAACCUGAAGUCCCAGAGGUUCCUAAGAAGAAAACUGAGAUACCUGUCAUAAAAAAAGAGGAGAAAUAUGUGCCAGAGCCACCAAAAGAGCCUAAGCAAGCAGCUAUCCCACUUCCUGGGCCUGAACCUAAACCUGCAG